UAGCAAUACUCUAGUGGCGGACGGGUGAGGAAUACGUAGGAAUCUGCCCUUAAGUGGGGGAUAACCCGGGGAAACCCGGAUUAAUACCGCAUGAUCUCGAAAGAGCAAAGCAGGGGACCGCAAGGCCUUGCGCUUUUGGAGGAGCCUACGUCGGAUUAGCUAGUUGGUGAGGUAACGGCUCACCAAGGCGACGAUCCGUAACUGUCUUAAGAGGAUGAUCAGUCACACCGGAACUGAGACACGGUCCGGACUCCUACGGGAGGCAGCAGUGGGGAAUAUUGGACAAUGGGCGAAAGCCUGAUCCCAGCAAUGCCGCGUGUGUGAAGAAGGCCUUCGGGUUGUAAAGCACUUUAAGUUGGGAAGAAAAAGCUUCACCUAAUACGGGAGCCUUGACGGUACCGACAGAAUAAGCACCGGCUA
Molecule: ribosomal RNA, 420 nt
Filed under: uncultured bacterium
Lineage: Bacteria
Description: bacterial SSU rRNA
Rfam family: Bacterial small subunit ribosomal RNA
Source: RNAcentral